This is a long non-coding RNA of Alligator sinensis (Chinese alligator), 886 nucleotides long. RefSeq lists it as uncharacterized. The record is from RefSeq and is a predicted model, not a curated record. Lineage: Eukaryota; Metazoa; Chordata; Crocodylia; Alligatoridae. The transcript has 3 exons.
GCACGUACUACCUUAAUACUGACCUUCGGCAUCCAGCCUCCCUGCUCGGUCGCCCAGCAGGCUUUCCGUGCUUGCCGAGGUCUCUGAGUCCACGUUUUCCUCAUCAGAGCAUCGCUGGUCAAGCUCAGGUAAUCGGAUUCCUCUCACCACUGAACCUCACAGCCCCCACUCCAGCACCACCCUCGUUUAAAAUCUCCUACGGCCCGUUCCCCGAGGCAGCUGCACGAGGACCCUGUCAGAGCUCAGCGAGCCGUCUCCCGAGCAGCAACCAGAGCUGCGGCACCAUCUGAACAGCUUCUCGCUGUUACUGUUUCAGAAUCUUAAAAAAAUGACCAUCGUGGACCAAGGAAUCGACGCAAAGGACUUUUGAACGUAGACCUAAAAGUAAAGUCAACACAGGUUUUUCUCACACAAUCAGGCAGGAUUCCAUUAUGAAUAGGUGACUAAGAAGUAAAUCUCCAGAACAGAAGUUAUUCAGCUCCAAAGACUGGCGAAGUAAAACAAAACCAGAGGAAAGGGGAAAGAGAUUAACUAGCUGGAUCGCAUUUACUGUGGAGAAGUGUGACCUCUCCGUGCUCCAUUUUCCAACUGUUUCAAGUUCACUGGAGAUAAAUUACCUAUAUAAGAAGGCCCUUUUCCUGAAAAUCCACUGCUAGAACCACAGCUACAGGCAGAAUGAACGAACCAAACAUCCAAUUCAUGUCAGCUACGGACACUACAGCAAUUUUGCUGACUGGCUGAGAAAAUUCCCUGCUUUUUCUUUUCCUGCCCCACGUGCUAGUGUCACACAUUCUGGUGCGGGCGAUACCUGGGUGUACCAGGGUAAAUUAAGGAAAGGGAACGCUCAUUAGUCCAUUUGGUUAAAACCAGCCCCAUGGCCACAGAG